UGGGGAAUAUUGGGCAAUGGGCGCAAGCCUGACCCAGCGACGCCGCGUGAAGGAAGAAGGCCUUCGGGUUGUAAACUUCUGUUGUAAGGGAAGAAGCAAGUGACGGUACCUUACGAGGAAGCCACGGCUAACUACGUGCCAGCAGCCGCGGUAAUACGUAGGUGGCGAGCGUUAUCCGGAUUUACUGGGUGUAAAGGGUGUGUAGGCGGGAAGGCAAGUCGGAUGUGAAAAUUAUGGGCUCAACCCAUAACCUGCAUUCGAAACUGUCUUUCUUGAGAGUCGGAGAGGUAAGUGGAAUUCCCAGUGUAGCGGUGAAAUGCGUAGAUAUUGGGAGGAACACCAGUGGCGAAGGCGGCUCUCUGGACUGUAACUGACACUGAGGCACGAAAGCGUGGGGAGCAAACAGG
Molecule: ribosomal RNA, 407 nt
Filed under: uncultured prokaryote
Description: bacterial SSU rRNA
Rfam family: Bacterial small subunit ribosomal RNA
Source: RNAcentral